Small nuclear RNA from Candoia aspera, 164 nucleotides. RefSeq annotates it as U1 spliceosomal RNA. The transcript has a single exon. The record is from RefSeq and is a predicted model, not a curated record. NCBI's taxonomy places the organism in Eukaryota, Metazoa, Chordata, Lepidosauria, Squamata, Candoiidae.
GCUUUUACCUGGAAGGGGAGAAUCCUUGAUAACAAAGGAAGUUUUCCCAGAGUGAGGCUCACCCAUUGUACUCCAGGUGUGCUGAUCCCUGCAAUUUCCCCAAACGUGGGAAAUUCAACUGCAUAAUUUAUGGUAGUUUUUAAUUACUGUUAGCUUCCUAGAGU